Molecule: ribosomal RNA, 370 nt
Filed under: uncultured bacterium
Lineage: Bacteria
Description: bacterial SSU rRNA
Rfam family: Bacterial small subunit ribosomal RNA
Source: RNAcentral
GAAGGGGGCUAGCGUUGCUCGGAAUGACUGGGCGUAAAGGGCGCGUAGGCGGUUCGUACAGUCAGACGUGAAAUUCCCGGGCUCAACCUGGGGGCUGCGUUUGAUACGUAUGGACUUGAGUUCGGAAGAGGGUCGUGGAAUUCCCAGUGUAGAGGUGAAAUUCGUAGAUAUUGGGAAGAACACCGGUGGCGAAGGCGGCGACCUGGUCCGAUACUGACGCUGAGGCGCGAAAGCGUGGGGAGCAAACAGGAUUAGAUACCCUGGUAGUCCACGCCGUAAACGAUGUGUGCUGGAUGUUGGGCGGUCUGACCGUUCAGUGUCGUAGCUAACGCGAUAAGCACACCGCCUGGGGAGUACGGCCGCAAGGUUG